Molecule: ribosomal RNA, 440 nt
Filed under: uncultured bacterium
Lineage: Bacteria
Description: partial 16S ribosomal RNA
Rfam family: Bacterial small subunit ribosomal RNA
Source: RNAcentral
CCUACGGGUGGCAGCAGUGGGGAAUAUUGGACAAUGGGGGAAACCCUGAUGCAGCGACGCCGCGUGAGUGAAGAAGUAUUUCGGUACGUAAAGCUCUAUCAGCAGGAAAGAAAAUGACGGUACCUGACUAAGAAGCCCCGGCUAACUACGUGCCAGCAGCCGCGGUAAUACGUAGGGGGCAAGCGUUAUCCGGAUUUACUGGGUGUAAAGGGAGCGUAGACGGCAGGGCAAGUCUGGAGUGAAAUGCCGGGGCUCAACCCCGGAACUGCUCUGGAAACUGUCAAGCUGGAGUGCAGGAGAGGUAAGCGGAAUUCCUGGUGUAGCGGUGAAAUGCGUAGAUAUCAGGAGGAAAACCGGCGGCGAAGGCGGCUUACUGGACUGUAACUGACGUUGAGGCUCGAAGGCGUGGGGAGCAAACAGGAUUAGAUACCCGAGUAGUC